Molecule: ribosomal RNA, 265 nt
Filed under: uncultured bacterium
Lineage: Bacteria
Description: partial 16S ribosomal RNA
Rfam family: Bacterial small subunit ribosomal RNA
Source: RNAcentral
AUGGCGACCGGCGCACGGGUGAGUAACACGUAUCCAACCUGCCGAUGACUCGGGGAUAGCCUUUCGAAAGAAAGAUUAAUACCCGAUGGCAUGGUUCUUCCGCAUGGUAGAACUAUUAAAGAAUUUCGGUCAUCGAUGGGGAUGCGUUCCAUUAGCUUGUUGGCGGGGUAACGGCCCACCAAGGCAUCGAUGGAUAGGGGUUCUGAGAGGAAGGUCCCCCACAUUGGAACUGAGACACGGUCCAAACUCCUACGGAAGGCAGCAG